RNAcentral lists this ribosomal RNA (492 nucleotides) under uncultured bacterium. Its description in RNAcentral is "partial 16S ribosomal RNA". It matches the Rfam family "Bacterial small subunit ribosomal RNA", at positions 29 to 507 of the family's 1533-position model. The record is from RNAcentral.
AGUGAACGCUGGCGGUAGGCCUAACACAUGCAAGUCGAACGGCAGCACAGUAAGAGCUUGCUCUUACGGGUGGCGAGUGACGGACGGGUGAGGAAUACAUCGGAAUCUACUUUUUCGUGGGGGAUAACGUAGGGAAACUUACGCUAAUACCGCAUACGACCUACAGGUGAAAGCAGGGGAUCUUCGGACCUUGCGCGAUUGAAUGAGCCGAUGUCGGAUUAGCUAGUUGGCGGGGUAAAGGCCCACCAAGGCGACGAUCCGUAGCUGGUCUGAGAGGAUGAUCAGCCACACUGGAACUGAGACACGGUCCAGACUCCUACGGGAGGCAGCAGUGGGGAAUAUUGGACAAUGGGCGCAAGCCUGAUCCAGCCAUACCGCGUGGGUGAAGAAGGCCUUCGGGUUGUAAAGCCCUUUUGUUGGGAAAGAAAAGCAGCAGGUUAAUACCCCGCUGUUCUGACGGUACCCAAAGAAUAAGCACCGGCUAACUUCGUG